CAGCACCUCAAGUGGUCAGGAUGAUUAUUGGGCCUAAAGCAUCCGUAGCCGGCGCUGUAAGUUUUCGGUUAAAUCUGUACGCUCAACGUACAGGCUGCCGGGAAUACUGCAGCGCUAGGGAGUGGGAGAGGUAGACGGUACUCGGUAGGAAGGGGUAAAAUCCUUUGAUCUAUUGAUGACCACCUGUGGCGAAGGCGGUCUACCAGAACACGUCCGACGGUGAGGGAUGAAAGCUGGGGGAGCAAACCGGAUUAGAUACCCGAGUAGCCC
Molecule: ribosomal RNA, 270 nt
Filed under: uncultured archaeon
Lineage: Archaea
Description: partial 16S ribosomal RNA
Rfam family: Archaeal small subunit ribosomal RNA
Source: RNAcentral